AUAACAAGCUACAAAGGGCAUACGGUGGAUACCUUGGCACCAGCAGUCGACGAAGGACGUAGUAAGCUACGAAAAGUCGCGGUGAGCUGCUAACGAGCUACGACCCGCGAGUUUCCGAAUGGGGAAACCCGUUUCGAUUAAUCUCGAAACAUUGCUAGUUGAAUUCAUAGGUUAGCAAAGAUAAGUCAGUGAAUUGAAACAUCUUAGUAACUGGAAGAAAAUAAAACAAAUCAGUGAUUCCCAAAGUAGCGGCGAGUGAAAUGGGAAUAGCCUAAACCGAUUAGCUUGCUAGUCGGGGUUGUAGGGCUGCAUUUAGUACUUGCAAAAGUAAUUGAACAAAGCUGAAAAGCUUGACCAAAGAAGGUGAUAGUCCUGUAAAUAAAACUUAAGCAAGGCGAGCAGUACCCUGAGUAAAUCGGGACACGGGAAAUCCUGAUUGAAGCUACCAGGACCAUCUUGGUAAGGCUAAAUACUGACUGGUGACCGAUAGCGUACAAGUACAGCGAUGGAAAGGUGAAAAGAACCCCGGAAGGGGAGUGAAAUAGAACAUGAAACCGUAUGCUUACAAGCAGUCAGAGCUCCUUCGUGGAGUGAUGGCGUGCCUGUUGAAGAAUGAGCCGGCGAGUUAGUGUGUCUAGUUGGUUAAGGAGUAAUAUCUGGAGCCAUAGCGAAAGCGAGUCUGAAUAGGGCGUUUAUAAUUAGACAUAUUAGACCCGAACCUUGGUGAUCUAACCAUGACCAGGUUGAAGCGCAAGUAACAUUGCGUGGAGGACCGAACCAAUUAGUGUUGAAAAACUACUGGAUGAGUUGUGGUUAGGGGUGAAAUGCCAAUCGAACCAAGAGCUAGCUGGUUCUCCCCGAAAUGUAUUGAGGUACAGGGUUAGGUUAAAGCUUAAUGGAGGUAGAGCACUAGUUCGGUAAGGGAGAUGAAUAAUCUUACCAAAUCGAGUUAAACUCCGAAUGCCAUUGUAGUGAUACCUAGCACUGAGACGGUGGGUGAUAAGAUUCAUCGUCAAGAGGGUAACAGCCCAGACCACCAUCUAAGGUCCCUAAGUUAAUGCUAAGUGACAAAGGAGGUGGGAUUACUUAGACAACCAGGAGGUUGGCUUAGAAGCAGCCACCCUUAAAAGAGUGCGUAACAGCUCACUGGUCAAGUGAUUCUGCGCCGAAAAUGUCUGGGGCUAAAGCAUUACACCGAAGUUGUGGGAUUAUAUUUUUUAAAUAUAAUCGGUAGGGGAGCGUUGUAUAUUAGGAUGAAGCUCAAUUGGAAAAUUGGGUGGACAAAAUACAAGUGAGAAUGUCGGCUUGAGUAGCGAAAACAUUGGUGAGAAUCCAAUGCACCGAAAGCCUAAGGAUUCCCACGGAAGGUUCGUCCGCGUGGGGUUAGUCGGGGCCUAAGCUGAGGCUGAAAAGCGUAGGUGAUGGAUAGCAGGUUGAUAUUCCUGCACUAUCAAAUAAUCGUUAUAGAAAUAUUGGGAAGUAGAAGGUUAGAUUACGGCGGUUAAUGGAUUCCGCUCUAAACGUGUAGGUAGUCACUGCUGGCAAAUCCGCAGUGGCGCUAUGACCUGAGACGUUAUGGUAAUUGUCUACGGACAAGAAGUAAUUUACACCACGCUAACGAGAAAAACAGUGUUUCAAGAUUAUUUGGUACCCGUACCAGAAACCGACACAGGUAGGCUGGUAGAGAAUACUAAGGUGCGCGAGAUAACUCUCUCUAAGGAACUCGGCAAAAUGCCCUCGUAAGUUUGCAAGAAGAGGGACUGUACAAUGUGUAGGAAGUUUACUUUCUGAAGCAAUGUACAGUGACACAAGGCAGACCCAAGCGACUGUUUACCAAAAACACAGGUCUCUGCUAACACGUAAGUGGAUGUAUAGAGGCUGACGCCUGCCCAGUGCUGGAAGGUCAAGGAAGUUGGUUAGUCCGCUUCGGCGGACAAAGCUAGCGACCAAAGCCCCAGUGAACGGCGGCCGUAACUAUAACGGUUAUUUAGCUACAAAAAUGGCCGUUAAAAAAUCUGGCUAUAUGCUGGAACAACUCAGUUAUUUUAUGUUACCGAGGAGGUGAUAAUACAUGAAUAGAGUCAAUCAGCAGGAAAGACUAUCUAUUGAAGAAGCUAAAAAAUGGUACCUAGCAGGUUUCAUUGAAGGUGAAGGUAGUUUAUGCGUUUCAAUUAAAAAUAUGCCAAACAACAAAUUUGGUUUUCUUGUAGAUCCUGAAUUUUUCUUAUAUCAACACAAAAGUGGAAUUGCACAAUUACACCUUGCAAGAGAAAUAUUCGGAACUGGAAGAAUAGUACCAAAGGUUGGCAAUGAAGAUGUUCUAGUCUACUCGAUAAUGUGUAGGCGUACUAUAAGAGAAAAGGUGAUUCCUUUUUUUGAAAAGUAUAUGAUCUUUUCUUCCAAGCGUGAGGUUUUUAAGCGCUUUAAAGAAAUUGUAAUUGCAAUGGAAGAUCGAAAAGAGCAUCUUACUCCAGGCGGAUUGGUCCGUUUGGUAAAGGAAGCAUAUGAAAUGAAUCCCGCAAGUAAAGGGAAAGAACGCAAACGAACACUAGAAGAAGUAACAGAUAGAAUCCUCAGAGACUAUAUGCCGGACAUCAGUUGUAUUGAUGAAGAUAUAGUCCGAUCUUCAUGGCGACAUGAAGCUAACACAAAUGCCUAAGGUAGCGAAAUUCCUUGUCGGGUAAGUUCCGACCCGCACGAAUGGCGUAACGAUUUGGGUGCUGUCUCAGAGAGGGACUCGGCGAAAUAGAUUUAUCUGUGAAGAAGCGGAUUUGGUGUGCCAGGACAGAAAGACCCUAUUGAGCUUUACUGUAGGCUGGAAUUGGCCGCGGGCGUUGGAUACGUAGCAUAGUUGGAAGACUUUGAAGCCUUGCUUCUGGGUGAGGCGGAGUCAACAGUGAAAUACCAAUUUUCUUGCACCUGCGUUCUAACCGAACACUGUUAUCCAGUGUCGGGAAAGUUCCUGUUGGGCAGUUUGACUGGGGCGGUCACCUCCUAAAAUGUAACGGAGGUGCGCAAUGGUUCCCUCAGGUUGGUCGGAAAUCAACCGUUGAGUGCAAAAGCAUAAGGGAGCUUGACAGCGAGACAGACAUGUCGAGCUGGUACGAAAGUAGGCUUUAGUGAUCCGGUGGUACCACAUGGAAGGGCCAUCGCUCAUCGGAUAAAAGUUACCAUAGGGAUAACAGGCUGAUCUCCCCCAAGAGUCCACAUCGACGGGGAGGUUUGGCACCUCGAUGUCGGCUCGUCGCAUCCUGGGGCGGUAGUACGUCCCAAGGGUUGGGCUGUUCGCCCAUUAAAGCGGCACGUGAGCUGGGUUCAGAACGUAGAAAAAAAGAGAUACUGUCAUCUCAACACUGCGUCUCUUCAGCCAAAGGCUGAUCCGCCUCCGGCGGAAAGAAGUAAUUCUUAGAUGUAAAUUGGCUUAUAUCGGUGAAGCCUAAGUAGAGUUAAAAUACUCUAUAAGGUAAUACCGAGGGAAGGCUGGAUAGUUGACUAAAAGUAAUCAAGAGUGAUCUUGGUUGUCAGAUCAAUUUAGAUCAAAAUUAUCCUUGCCCCUGUAACGACUGAGGAAAUGGGUAAAACCCCAAAGUACAAGGUGGUGCUAUUAAAAGCACUACAAUACGCCAACUCCUGUUUGCUUUAUAACAGGAAGGAGAUAUAGUCUAUGCCACUAGAAAUAGUGGAAGUAUCCAGUCUUUUUAAAGAAAGAACUGGAGAAAUCAACAUGCGUGAGACAGUUCGGUCCAUAUCCGGCAUACCCGUAAGAUAUUUGAGAGGAGACUUCCUUAGUACGAGAGGACCGGGAAGUACAGACCUCUGGUUUACCAGUUGUCACGCCAGUGGCAUACGCUGGGUAGCCAUGUCUGGAGAGGAUAAGUGCUGAAAGCAUAUAAGUACGAAGCCCACCUCAAGAUGAGAUAUCUCAUACUGUUAAGGUAGUAAGAUCUGCCAAAGAUUAUGGCGUUGAUAGGCAGCAGGUGUAAGUGUAGCGAUACACUAAGCCAAGCUGUACUAAUAGAUCGAGGGCUUGUUUU
This 4034-nucleotide ribosomal RNA is filed under the name Candidatus Melainabacteria bacterium RIFCSPLOWO2_02_FULL_35_15. RNAcentral describes it as "23S ribosomal RNA". It matches the Rfam family "Bacterial large subunit ribosomal RNA". Lineage: Bacteria; Bacillati; Candidatus Melainabacteria. The record is from RNAcentral.